CCCACAUCAUCCCCUAUUUGAAUGACUGACCUUUUUCUAUGGAACACAAUAUAAUAUUUGUUUAUUUACUUGUUUGUUUGUUGUCCAUGCAGUGAAAUUCACUGGAAGAGAGAAAGUCAAACAGUUUUGGAGUCACAUGAGGGUGAGCAAAUAAUGACAGAAUUUUCUCUCUCUCUUUUUUUUUUUUUUUUUUUUUCGUGAACUAACACAGCCAAUUUAGUUUUUUGUUGCAAAUCUCCUGUGAAAAUGUGUGCUUUCAGAAUGUUGACUUUUAAAAUCCCUUCUUUUUGUUCAUCUUUGCCUUUGGAAUUCUAGCGCACACUGAUGACAUCACUUGUUUUGGAAUCUCUGUGUCAACUUGUGUGACAUCACAAAGCUGGUCUCUGUAGUAAGACCUUGACCGUAAGGUGAGUGUGUGUGUGUGUGUGUGUGUGUGUGUGUGUGUGUGUGUGUGUGUGUGUNNNNNNNNNNNNNNNNNNNNNNNNNNNNNNNNNNNNNNNNUGUGUGUGUGUGUGUGUGUGUGUGUGUGUGUGUGUGUGUGUGUGUCCAUGUGUGUGUGAGUGUGUGUGUUGGUGCUGUAGUGUUUUUGGCCCCGGGCGAACCUGAGGGUGCUGAGAGUGACUGCAUUUGAUGACAUUACAGCAUGAGAAACUCACACACUUCAUGCAUCCAUGAAGCAUAUUUUCAUGCCUUGAGGAGGAAGCGAGUGCCAGCUCUCUCUUCUGCCUCCUCUCAUUAUUGCCCUGCAGGCGUGGCUGGGACUCGGGCCCCCCGGGCUGGACUGAAACACGGCCCCCGAGGCCUCUCUGAAGGACCUGAGCAGCAGGGGUUCAGAUGCCCCUGGCUCUCUCUCUCUCACACUCUCUCGGUGGAGACUGAAAUGGAGUGCGGGGUUAUGAACACACAUGGUGGGAGAGUUUGCACAAAGUGA
Long non-coding RNA from Cyprinus carpio (common carp), 931 nucleotides. NCBI's taxonomy places the organism in Eukaryota, Metazoa, Chordata, Actinopteri, Cypriniformes, Cyprinidae. The record is from Ensembl.